GUUCGUCCUGGAGGCCAAGGUAUUGUUCCUCCUGGAGGCCAAGGUAUUGUCUCAGAGAGUCAUAGAGAAUAAGAGAUAUGAAGAGGGCAGGGCAGAGGGCAAGAGGUACAAAGAAUUGGAAAGUUCAUGGUAAGGACGAAGAAGAAGGGACAGAGAGAGAGAGAGGCAGAGAGAGAGAAAGAAGCAGAGCGAGAGAGAGAGAGAGGCAGAGAGAGAGAGAGAGAGAGAGAGAGAGAGAGAGAGAGAGAGAGGCAGAGAAAGCGAAAGAGGCAGAGAGAGAGAGAGAGAGAGGCAGAGAGAGAGAGAGAAAGGCAGAGAGAGAGAGAGAAAGGCAGAGAGAGACAGAGAGAGAGACACACGCACACACUUGUGGGUUGAGAGAGAGAGUGUGAAAUUGGAAACACACACACGCAGCCAAUAAUCCGCGUUGUGCUUGCAGUGUUUUUCCAAUAACAGAGAUUAUAAACUUAGGUUCUAAUUUUUCAGAGUAAAUAACUCACGGACACUAGAGAAGCUGAACCAAGUUGAAUUCUCCCCAAAGGGUCGACACAGCUGUAUUCAGAUAAAGACAUGUUCACACCACUACAAAUAUAUAUACUCCACUUUAGACACUCCUCCUUCUCUCCAAUCCUUACAUCUUGUGGUUCUACAGGAAGAGGAUAAUAGAGUAAUGAACCAUAAUUUCUCCCUUCAGGGGAUCUGACCUGACCUCAACCCCUCCUUCGCCUAAUCCACAGAUGUCCAUCCUCUUCACCUAUAGCAAUCCUGUGACGUCCUCCCGUCCACCCAGCACAUUCCACAGCCACUCUGUCUUUCUACAGAACCAUUUACUGCUGACAUAUAAACCAGUCUCUUCCUUUAUAUACUAUGUUUGUGUAUACCAAUGAUCAGAGUUUACCCAGAAUCCAACAACACCAUACAACUAAGUCAUAUCACAGGAGCAAAGCCCUCUGAAAAACAUCAGGGUGGAUGUUUUUCUCCUUUUCCUACCCCUCUCUUCUAUCCCUGUCUCACUGGAAAGAUCUCAAUUGCAUUCUCCCACGUCCUCGCUCCUCGUCUCCUUCUCAAAACCCAUUGGAGGAGAAGGUCAGAGGGGAGGGACCUCUGGCUUUCUUAUCCAGUGGGUAUUGAAAAGGAGAUGAGGAGAAAGGACUGGAGUAUGCAACUGAGAUUUUCCUGUCACAGUUCUCUCCCUCAUCUUCUUCUGUCCCAGCGUCACUCUCCUGCCACCCACCCCUUUUCUUUCUCCCUCUUUACUAAAACUGUUCUUCUGUGUAUCAGAGAGGCUGGAUUUCAAAAAGUAAUAACCUCUAUUUGAGUUUUUAUUUUCUCCCACUGAGGCAUAGCCACGUGAAGAAGGGGUGCUGAAGGUGCUGAGGGUGCUGAGGGUGCUGAGGGUGCUGAAGGUGCUGAGGGUGCUGAGGGUGCUGAGGGUGCUGCAGCACGCCCUGAAAAAUGAGAAUAAAAAUAUAUUAAUAAAGAAAUUCUCUACUUUGGCAGAGGUAUUUGUAUAAUUUGUAUAAUUAAGAACAGUAUGUUGCAGGAUUCAAUCGUUGGAAUUGUAAGAGUUGUUGCCCUGUCAUUUUGUCU
RNAcentral lists this long non-coding RNA (1590 nucleotides) under Salmo salar (Atlantic salmon). RNAcentral describes it as "lncRNA (ENSSSAG00000085359.1)". The record is from RNAcentral. Lineage: Eukaryota; Metazoa; Chordata; Actinopteri; Salmoniformes; Salmonidae.